UCGCCUACAUGAAGUCGGAAUCGCUAGUAAUCGCGGAUCAGCAUGCCGCGGUGAAUACGUUCCCGGGCCUUGUACACACCGCCCGUCACACCAUGAGAGUUUGUAACACCCAAAGCCGGUGGGGUAACCUUUUGGAGCCAGCCGUCUAAGGUGGGACAGAUGAUUGGGGUGAAGUCGUAACAAGGUAUC
Molecule: ribosomal RNA, 189 nt
Filed under: uncultured bacterium
Lineage: Bacteria
Description: partial 16S ribosomal RNA
Rfam family: Bacterial small subunit ribosomal RNA
Source: RNAcentral